GGAUUAGAUACCCUGGUAGUCCACGCCGUAAACGAUGAUAACUAGUUGUUGGGAGGCUUAGACCUCUUUGUGACGAAGCUAACGCGAUAAGUUAUCCGCCUGGGGAGUACGGUCGCAAGACUAAAACUCAAAGGAAUUGACGGGGACCCGCACAAGUGGUGGAGCAUGUCGUUUAAUUCGAUACUACGCGAAAAACCUUACCAAGGCUUGACAUCCUGGUCGUACUCUCCCGAAAAGGAGAGGUCAUUUAGUUGGACCAGUGACAGGUGUUGCAUGGCUGUCGUCAGCUCGUGCCG
RNAcentral lists this ribosomal RNA (296 nucleotides) under uncultured bacterium. Its description in RNAcentral is "partial 16S ribosomal RNA". It matches the Rfam family "Bacterial small subunit ribosomal RNA", at positions 775 to 1067 of the family's 1533-position model. The record is from RNAcentral.